AAUUAUUAAAAUAUAAAUGUUUUUCCCAGAACUGUGUUAAAGUGCUGUUAUCCAAUGUUACUUAUUUAAACAUUUCUGUUAGGAGAGAGUUUCUAAAAUACGAUUUAUUUUUUCUUUGACAUCCAGAGUUCUUUUCACUUAAACAGUUGACUGACUAGUGUAAGAAGAAUACUGAAUAAAUUUUCUAUCCAGAUCUUGAUAGUAUUCCAAAAAAAGAUUAUUAUAAUGUAUAGUUGUUGAUAAGCAAAUGCUUCCUGUACAUUUAUCAGAAUUUUUACAUUUGUUAGAUUUGAGACUACUUGCCUAGGUUCACUUCCUGAGAUGAGCAAUAAUCUGAUAUUGCAACAACCACCUUUUCCCUAAUAAAAUUUUCAGCCUUCUUGAAAGACACUGUUAAGCAGCAUGAGCAAAUGUUCCAUGGUUAUUGCUAAUAUCUACAAAAAUUUUGUACAAAGAUAUUUCUUUGAUUAUUUAAAGAUGCAAAAUCGUACAAAAAAUCGUAUGCGUUCUUUUGUUCUUUACCUGAUGAUGGCGCCUAGAGCGUUGAAAACGUUUGUAAUUAAAGUUAAUUUUACUUUUGUUAUACCUAUCUGCCUAAAAGAGCUUUUAUUUUUAUAUAUUUAAAGAUGCUCAUCAACACACUUUAACC
This 649-nucleotide long non-coding RNA is filed under the name Androctonus crassicauda. The record is from RNAcentral. Lineage: Eukaryota; Metazoa; Arthropoda; Arachnida; Scorpiones; Buthidae.